RNAcentral lists this long non-coding RNA (254 nucleotides) under Elaeis guineensis (African oil palm). RNAcentral's name for it is "long non-coding RNA (EGUI_LNC043686)". Lineage: Eukaryota; Viridiplantae; Streptophyta; Magnoliopsida; Arecales; Arecaceae. The record is from RNAcentral.
GGCUGUGGGGACGCAUUCGGGCAUUGUAAGGCCUCUCCCCCAAUCCGAUCUCAAGAUAAUCGGACUUUCAUUUUAUUUAUGUUAGGAUAAGGUUCUCCUUCCGUUCCUAACAUAACCUUGUUUUAAUUGUUUGAAGGGGUUAUCCCCAGUCGUAACAAAUUCAUGCCAAAUGGGAGGAACAUGCAAAGUCGAAAGAAAUUUAGAUUCAGGGCAAGGUCAUAAGCGAUACAUUUACAGGUUUCUCGAGUUCCAUG